Molecule: unclassified non-coding RNA, 554 nt
Filed under: Penicillium citrinum
Lineage: Eukaryota; Fungi; Ascomycota; Eurotiomycetes; Eurotiales; Aspergillaceae
Description: sequence contains 18S rRNA gene, ITS1, 5.8S rRNA gene, ITS2, 28S rRNA gene
Rfam family: 5.8S ribosomal RNA (bases 184-337)
Source: RNAcentral
UCGUAACAAGGUUUCCGUAGGUGAACCUGCGGAAGGAUCAUUACCGAGUGCGGGCCCCUCGGGGCCCAACCUCCCACCCGUGUUGCCCGAACCUAUGUUGCCUCGGCGGGCCCCGCGCCCGCCGACGGCCCCCCUGAACGCUGUCUGAAGUUGCAGUCUGAGACCUAUAACGAAAUUAGUUAAAACUUUCAACAACGGAUCUCUUGGUUCCGGCAUCGAUGAAGAACGCAGCGAAAUGCGAUAACUAAUGUGAAUUGCAGAAUUCAGUGAAUCAUCGAGUCUUUGAACGCACAUUGCGCCCUCUGGUAUUCCGGAGGGCAUGCCUGUCCGAGCGUCAUUGCUGCCCUCAAGCCCGGCUUGUGUGUUGGGCCCCGUCCCCCCCGCCGGGGGGACGGGCCCGAAAGGCAGCGGCGGCACCGCGUCCGGUCCUCGAGCGUAUGGGGCUUCGUCACCCGCUCUAGUAGGCCCGGCCGGCGCCAGCCGACCCCCAACCUUUAAUUAUCUCAGGUUGACCUCGGAUCAGGUAGGGAUACCCGCUGAACUUAAGCAUAUCA